GACGAACGCUGGCGGCGUGCUUAACACAUGCAAGUCGAACGAAGAGCGAUGGACGCUUGCUUCUAUCACUCUUAGUGGCGAACGGGUGAGUAACGCGUAAUCAACCUGCCCUUCAGAGGGGGACAACAGUUGGAAACGACUGCUAAUACCGCAUACGAUCUAAUCUCGGCAUCGAGGAUAGAUGAAAGGUGGCCUCUACAUGUAAGCUAUCACUGAAGGAGGGGAUUGCGUCUGAUUAGCUAGUUGGAGGGGUAACGGCCCACCAAGGCGAUGAUCAGUAGCCGGUCUGAGAGGAUGAACGGCCACAUUGGGACUGAGACACGGCCCAGACUCCUACGGGAGGCAGCAGUGGGGAAUCUUCCGCAAUGGACGAAAGUCUGACGGAGCAACGCCGCGUGAGGGAUGACGGCCGUCGGGUUGUAAAGCUCUGUUAAUCGGGACGAAAGGCCUUCUUGCGAAUAGUGAGAAGGAUUGACGGUACCGGAAGAGAAAGCCACGGCUAACUACGUG
Molecule: ribosomal RNA, 510 nt
Filed under: uncultured bacterium
Lineage: Bacteria
Description: partial 16S ribosomal RNA
Rfam family: Bacterial small subunit ribosomal RNA
Source: RNAcentral